GACGAACGCUGGCGGCGUGCUUAACACAUGCAAGUCGAGCGGUAAGGCCCUUUCGGGGGUACACGAGCGGCGAACGGGUGAGUAACACGUGGGUGACCUGCCCUUAGCUCUGGGAUAAGCCUGGGAAACUGGGUCUAAUACCGGAUAUGACUCCAUGACGCAUGUUGUGGGGUGGAAAGCCUUGUGCGGCUAGGGAUGGGCCCGCGGCCUAUCAGCUUGUUGGUGGGGUGANGGCCUACCAAGGCGACGACGGGUAGCCGGCCUGAGAGGGCGACCGGCCACACUGGGACUGAGACACGGGCCCAGACUCCUACGGGAGGCAGCAGUGGGGAAUCUUGCGCAAUGGGCGAAAGCCUGACGC
This 361-nucleotide ribosomal RNA is filed under the name uncultured bacterium. Its description in RNAcentral is "bacterial SSU rRNA". It matches the Rfam family "Bacterial small subunit ribosomal RNA", at positions 28 to 389 of the family's 1533-position model. The record is from RNAcentral.